GCCAGCGUAGUGUAGUGGUUUGAGUGUUUGACUAGGACUUCAAGAGACCAGGGUUUGAAUCCCCACUUGGCC
Molecule: non-coding RNA, 72 nt
Organism: Phrynosoma platyrhinos (Desert horned lizard)
Lineage: Eukaryota; Metazoa; Chordata; Lepidosauria; Squamata; Phrynosomatidae
Source: the annotation of a GenBank genome assembly